AACGGGUGCGUAACACGUAGGUAAUCUGCCCAUGAGACCGGGACAACCUGGCGAAAGUCGGGCUAAUACUGGAUAAGACCACAAUAUAAUUUAUCGUGGUAAAAGGUGACCUCUUCUUGAAAGUUAUCACUUAUGGAUGAGCCUGCGUACCAUUAGCUUGUUGGUGGGGUAAAAGCCUACCAAGGCUACGAUGGUUAGCUGAUCUCAGAGGAUGAUCAGCCACACUGGAACUGAAACACGGUCCAGACUCC
RNAcentral lists this ribosomal RNA (251 nucleotides) under uncultured bacterium. RNAcentral describes it as "partial 16S ribosomal RNA". It matches the Rfam family "Bacterial small subunit ribosomal RNA", at positions 101 to 339 of the family's 1533-position model. The record is from RNAcentral.